RNAcentral lists this ribosomal RNA (461 nucleotides) under uncultured bacterium. RNAcentral's name for it is "partial 16S ribosomal RNA". It matches the Rfam family "Bacterial small subunit ribosomal RNA", at positions 338 to 795 of the family's 1533-position model. The record is from RNAcentral.
CCUACGGGUGAGCAGCAGUGAGGAAUAUUGGUCAAUGGACGCAAGUCUGAACCAGCCAUGCCGCGUGCAGGAAGACGGCUCUAUGAGUUGUAAACUGCUUUUGUACGAGGGUAAACGCAGAUACGCGUAUCUGUCUGAAAGUAUCGUACGAAUAAGGAUCGGCUAACUCCGUGCCAGCAGCCGCGGUAAUACGGAGGAUUCAAGCGUUAUCCGGAUCGAUUGGGUUUAAAGGGUGCGUAGGCGGUCGGAUAAGUUAGAGGUGAAAUCCCGAGGCUCAACUUCGGAAUUGCCUCUGAUACUGUUCGGCUAGAGAGUAGUUGCGGUAGGCGGAAUGUAUGGUGUAGCGGUGAAAUGCUUAGAGAUCAUACAGAACACCGAUUGCGAAGGCAACUGACCAAGCUACUUCUGACGUUGAGGCACGAAAGCGUGGGGAGCAAACAGGAUUAGAUACCCGUGUAGUC